Molecule: ribosomal RNA, 254 nt
Filed under: uncultured bacterium
Lineage: Bacteria
Description: partial 16S ribosomal RNA
Rfam family: Bacterial small subunit ribosomal RNA
Source: RNAcentral
UACGUAGGGUGCAAGCGUUGUCCGGAAUUAUUGGGCGUAAAGAGCUCGUAGGCGGUGUGUCGCGUCGGCCGUGAAAACCUGGGGCUCAACUCUGGGCGUGCGGUCGAUACGGGCAUCACUGGAGUUCGGCAGGGGAGACUGGAAUUCCUGGUAUAGCGGUGAAAUGCGCAGAUAUCAGGAGGAACACCGGUGGCGAAGGCGGGUCUCUGGGCCGAUACUGACGCUGAGGAGCGAAAGCAUGGGUAGCGAACAGG